AUCUGAAAAAGGCAAAACCAUCGAAAGGUGGUGACGCAAAGUUACCGGUCUACGGGAGCCAGCCUCCUAUGACAGCGGGAUUGCCAGU
RNAcentral lists this non-coding RNA (88 nucleotides) under Methylocaldum szegediense. RNAcentral's name for it is "c-di-GMP-I". It matches the Rfam family "c-di-GMP-I riboswitch aptamer". From Rfam's summary of the family: GEMM was predicted in a large-scale screen for bacterial structured RNA regulatory elements. Genes associated with GEMM are involved in a diverse array of functions, including chemotaxis regulation, signal transduction, secretion and chitin. The record is from RNAcentral. Lineage: Bacteria; Pseudomonadati; Pseudomonadota; Gammaproteobacteria; Methylococcales; Methylococcaceae.